Aphis gossypii (cotton aphid) is the source of this 5898-nucleotide long non-coding RNA. RefSeq lists it as uncharacterized. The record is from RefSeq and is a predicted model, not a curated record. Lineage: Eukaryota; Metazoa; Arthropoda; Insecta; Hemiptera; Aphididae. The transcript is spliced from 2 exons.
GUAUAAUAAUCAAUUACAUUAAUAAUAUUAUGAAAAUAUCCAAUAAAAUUGGUAUAAUUAUUAUGUAGAACAUGUAUAUAAUAUUGUGUAAGUUCAAACAAAAAAAGUGAACUAUAUACUAAGCCUUUUUUUUUUUUGUGUUACGAAUGGCGCAUAACGAUGAUGAUAAUAAACAAUAUCGACUUUGACCAGCUUUACAAUACGAUCAGCACGUCAAGGUGGGUAUCAUGUGUGUGCCGCCGAUUGCACGCGGAUACCAAAAAUCACGACGACAAAGUUUUGGCACAACCUUUGGCGAAUACCAUACAUAGUUAACAUCAUUGUCUUAUUAUCGUAAAAUCACAUGCAAAUUCCACUGCACCGUGUUCGAAGAAAAGUUUCCACGGUUGUCGCUAUCGUCCUUAAGGGUUUUAUUCCGACGAUGUGUCUGUAGCUCGUCGUUUAUAGUGACCAUCACCGUAGCUGCAACAAGAAAAUUUUCUUCCGACAUUCAGAAGUAUUCUCCCUAGUGCCAACAGAAAAAAUUUUCUUUUCUUAGGAAUCGGUUCAGAAACUGUUUCCACCAGGUCGCUACUAGCUAACACGUCGAUCGUCUCUUCCUCUGCGUCCGAUGGCCAUAAUUGCUUCUCGCUCGAUGAAUACGUCAUUUUCAGCAAUUCUGAUAGCCACAUUACACAUGUUUGCUCUUCAUCAAACGUCAGUAGUUCUGUUAUCUGAGGUUCCGUUGUCGGAAGUAUUGUCAGUGGCAUUUUGUUAAUUUUUUCAAUCAAUUCGUUGUCUCCCUCCAUUAUAUUUAUAGUACUUAUGCUUUGCACGUUAUAUGACGUCCGAUCCAUGUUAAAGUAUCUCGUUCUUAUUGCUACCAUUUUAGUAGCAUAAUCGAACUAACCAUCUGUGAGUUGCAAGGACUGGCAUUCAUAUUCGUCAUUGCCACUCGAAAAAAUAGACGUAGACAAGUGGUGCAUCUUCAAUACCAAAUGUAUUUGUUCAAAUAGAUCAUCCAGUAUCCUUCCGGACGCAAUACCAAGUCUUCGUCUUCGUAUAAGUCAAUAUCCAUACCUUGUAGUGUUGUGUCUCCUAACUCAAGGGAAUAACGUAUUUCUUCAAAAAAUUCAUCGAGCAAUCCCGGUGCCCCAUUAUCACCAUCCAUUAUUAAACAAUUAUUAAUAAUUAGUCUUAAGUUGAAAGGUUGAAAGCAAAUAUUUAUUUUAGUAGGAGCAAAAUAUAAACGAUACUGAUAUUGCAAAUUAUAUUUUAUAGGUUAUACAAACAUCAUUAUUGUGUCUCUUUAACAACAAAUAAAAUACAAUAUAAAUGUUAAAGCUAAUGUGCGUUUCAUUCGCGUUUUUAAAAUCAUUACAUUCAUCACUUCGUUCAGAAUCUAUAAAAUAACAAAAAUAUAGUAUAUGUUCAUCUAUACGUAAGAUAUAAGUUAUUCAUAAUGUCAACCAUGCUGAAAAUUCUUAAAUAUUUAGAAAAGCUGUACUCAGCAUAUAUAUUUUAUGUGGCAUGUUAAGUUAUUAUAUAAAUACUUAUACACAGACACGGUUAAUUCGAAUCGUAAAGGAUCUAAAUAUAUGAAUAAAAUAUGAUGAUUGAUACACACUUGAGUUAUUAUUAAGUUCUUCAUUCUUGGUCUCCAUUAAUAUUGUCUUGAAUAUGUACAUGUUUAAACACGCUGGUUGGUGAAGUAUAUAAAAUCAUUCUAGACUUUGAAAGUUCCUCAAAGUUUAAUGUUUACGAGUCAACGUGAAAUGUUGAUGCAUCGCGUUGCAAUCAAAUGUCUAAUUUACGAGGUACUCGCUAUUAUCAUGCAAUAUUAAAGUGACACCGUGAAUAACGUGUUUCGUGUUAACAAGCUCUUAUAACUAAGUAAAACUAAUGCAGUCGGGUAAAAACGCGUCUUGAACCAACUUUUAAACAGACGGAGUAGCAACUAAUUACCGUAUUCCAUAUUGACGAUGACAUUCCAAAGAGUGACACGCCCGCGAUUUAUAACACUUAUACCUAUUGAAUACAAUAAUAUAUAACGCAGUAAUAACUUAUUCCCACGGUACCAAUAUAACUAAUAUACUCGUUCAUCGUUUUCUUCGUAAUCUGUCUAAAAUAGAAUGCAAACACGCAAGUCGACUAUUUUUCAAUUUUAUUUUCAAUUUUUAUUGCGACUAUAUAUAAUAAAUAUUAUUAUAUUGUUAAUAGUACAGAUACAGUGUAGGGAAGGUAUAUAUUGAUGUACUACUUAACCUUCAAUAUCAAAUAAUUAAAAAGAGGAAUACAAUUUUUUGGUAUAAACGUGUAUAUGUAAAAAUUAAAUUUAACGGCUUACAUACGCGUUUUAGGUAGGUACGUCAGACUGGGUCAGUGUUUAUACCUAAUAAUAUAAUAUACAUUUUAUAAAUGCAUCGUGUGUUCGUUAAAUGGGCCGAUUGAGAAGUUAAAUUUAAUGUAAUUAUAAUAUAUAAUAUAUUCAUUUUUACGUAUGUAUGUAUAUUGUAUAUAUCAUUGAUUACAUAAUCAAUGGUAUAUAUGCAGUUUAUUUUUUCAAAAAUAAUAAAUACUUUUAAACAUUACAAAAACGUGUGAUCUGAGAAUCACUGGUUAUGAAAAAACCUACUAUCUACCUACUUGACGUCAUUUACUUAAAAAAUUAUAUUUUUGAUAAUGAGUAAAAAAUCGUUUCUAAUUUUUUAAUUGAAGUGGAAAAUGUUCGAACGCGGUUAAUUUCUCGUCGAAUCGUCUGCAUCGUCAAAGGCUUCCCAAAUCUAUAACUGCAUAUUAUGGCUAACAUGAUUACUGAUAUAAAAAUAAAUUAAACAAGUCUUACAAUAAUUAUUCAAAGAUUCUAAUACAACUAAUUAAACAUAUUAUAUGAUACAUAAGAUUAAACAAAAUAAUUUACCAAAUUUUUAUGAAAAUGACUCAAAAUUGGAUCGGUACGUCAGGAUUAUCGGUUUCUUUUACACAUGCAUUUUUUUUAUCAUUACCAGCCUCGAUUGGUGUUUCACUUACAGAAAAUUUACGUCUCUUUCCUCUUUCAUCAUCUAUUUGAUAACUGCAGACUCUUUUCCUUAUAACACCUUUAUUUCUAAUAAAAAAAUCCUAUAAAUAGGAGAAUAAAAAUAUACUCGUCUUAGGUGUAUUGCAUACACAUAUGUACCUACUUUAUCUUUAUAUUUCUGAUAAAGACGUUUAUUUUUAUAAUUUAAUGAAUACGAUUAGGUAACUAUGUACGAUUAAUCAAUUUAUAAAAUUCUAAAUCAAUUCAGAAUAAUCCAUUUCAUUUUUCUGUUUAAGAUUAUUAGACCAGAUAUUAAAUUUAAAUAAUAUUACAUCCUUCAAAUUUUAUGAUAGAUAGAUUCAUUAUUAUAUGUAUUAGUAAGACAGAUACAAUAAAUAAGGGUACAUCCUUUUUACAAAAACACAAAUUCAAAUCGUUUACUCCAACAAAUCCUGGUUUCCAAUGGGUGUAAUACACGACUCUCUCAGCUGUAGUGGUACCAGCAAAAGGGGCCAAACUAGACACCCCCUUACUUGGGUCUGGCUGGCUGAUAACGACUGUUGAGACGCACCUCACUCAACCGCCGGCUCUGGGGUUUCCGAUGCUCCUGUAGCAGUAAUAUCAGAACUAUUCGUUGUACUUGUCAUCAUGAUUUUAAGAUUGUGGUGACUUAGCAUCGAAUGGCGCCAAUAGCUUCACGAUGCCUGUCCUUUGUCCAAUCCAUAGUUCUGCGGCCACUGGAUGUCGACCUCCGGGAGCUUGAUUGCUCACCUGUUGUCCCCUGAGGAGAUUGAGCGUACAAAUCCAAAUCGUUUACUCCAACAAAUCCUGGUUUCAAUUGCGUGUAUUACACGACUCUCUCAGCUGUAGUGGUACCAGCAAAAGGGGCCAAACUAGACACCCCCUUACUUGGGUCUGGCUGGCUGAUAACGACUGUUGAGACGCACCUCACUCAACCGCCGGCUCUGGGGUUUCCGAUGCUCCUGUAGCAGUAACAUCAGAACUAUUUGUUGUACUUGUCAUCAUAAUUUUAAGAUUGUGGUGGCUUAGCAUCCACUGGCGCCAAUAGCUUCGCGACGCCUGUCCUUUGUCCGAUCCGUAUAUAAGAUCAAUAUUCUAUAGACUUUAAUCCACAUUUACACAAUUCGAUUGAAACAUAAUUAAAUUAUUUUAAUUUUAAAUAAAAAUUAAAAAUAAAUAAGCUUCUAUUAAAAUUGGGUGAAAUUUAUCUUAGAUAUGUAUUCUUUCUCAUGCAAAAUUGUCUCCAUUUUAAUAUUUGCUGAUCAAUGAUUUAAUUAUAAUAUUUUUUUUAAUCUCACCAAAUAAAUAAAUGAACAUAAGUAGGUUAGUAUCUACUGCAUUUGAGUCGUUUUUAACUAUUUCAGUUUAAGUGUCAUUCCAAUAUAAUAUACAAUUCUAAAUAGCCAAUAUAAUAUAAUGUUGUAUAGAAUAAACCAUAAAUUAUAAAUACAAAACUAUCGAAAAUGAAAUAAACAUUAUAGUAAAUCGGAGAAAAUAACUACGGUACACAUUAAAUUAAAGAAAAAUUAAAUACAAUUUUGUGGAUAAAUAAAAGAGAUAUAUCGAUAAAAAAAAAAACAAAUGAUUUAUGUAUUUUUUAUACAGAUACACCUAUAUCCCAUUCGUGAGCGAGGAGGUCAACCGGCAUCAUGGAAGAGAACUCGGACGAAGUUUCGACGGAUACCGUGCGAUAGGCUUUGAUUAUCCGGAGGGCUGUGGUUCUUUGUGCUCUUGCCAUAGCAUUGCGGUUUUUGGCCUUCUUGAUGUCCACAAACACCCAGAUUGGUGGAGCGUAUAGCAGCUUGCAAUUUGCUACUGAGCCCAGAAGCGGUCUGUGAUGGGCCGCAGAUGUUUGGCAUGAGUCACCUGAUCGCCUUAACUAACUGUGUUGCCUUAUCUAACGCUAAACCGCUAUACCACAAUGUGCCUGGUGAAGGACAGUCGCGAGUCCAACUCUACGGUUGACCAACAGCUUCCUGCCUUUGAGGUAUGAUCGCAGCAUUUUGUUGAAGUAUAGAGGAACCUGAUUGGCUCGUAGUGUGACGUCGAUCUUGGUCCAUAAUGCCUUGUUGAACGCGUUUUUUACGUCUAGCGAGACGGCUACUCAGAUGUCGCGGUGUUGUGCAGCGCCAGUCGAGACCCCGCGCGCGGCUUCUAUCACCCGCUCGAUUGCGUCCACUGUCAACCUGCCGCUGCGGAAGCCGUACUGGUCUUCUGACCGUUGACCCGUGCCGUCGAGUUGUUAGUUCAGCCUAGCAAGCACUAGUCGUUCCAAGAGUUUGCUGACAGAGUCCAACAUGUACAGAGGCCUGGAGAUGGACGGAUCUUCUACUGACUGGCCAGACCCUUUGUGAAGCAGGACUAGUCUAGCGGUCUUCCAGCGAGACGGGAACUCUCUGAUAGCCAGGCACGCGUUGAACAUCUAAGUCAGGAGCUGGGGCCUGAGUCGUGAGACCAGCAGCAGUACCUUGUUGGGUAUGCCUUCCGGAUCAGUGACUAAUCUUUUGCAAUCAUCUAAGAUCUUCUCGCCGGUGAAAUCCUGCAGAGCAUGCUGUUCGUCAUCAUCUAGAGGAGGUUCUUGCGACCACACCGUUUCCGAUGGAUUUAGAAAGAGGUGAUCGGCGAUGGCUUCAUCGCUGCCGCGGGCUUCGAUGCCUGGACGCCGUCGACCUAUCUUCUUCGUGACCACCCUAUAAAUAUUACCAAUUUGGAUGGAAGCUGAUUAGUAAAUUCAAAACAAAACAAUUUGGAAAAAGCUGCAUAAUAUGUUUACUAUACAAGAUCUAUGACGUAUGAUUUUAAUAUUUAAUUAUUUUACAAUUAAUGUAUUUUCUUUAAGUUCAAAUAAUUAUUAAAAUAAACUAUAGAAUACAGAGUAA